CCUACGGGGGGCUGCAGUGGGGAAUCUUGGACAAUGGGGGCAACCCUGAUCCAGCGACGCCGCGUGGGUGACGAAGGCCUUCGGGUUGUAAAGCCCUUUUGCCGGGGACGAUGAUGACGGUACCCGGAGAAUAAGCACCGGCUAACUCCGUGCCAGCAGCCGCGGUAAGACGGAGGGUGCUAGCGUUGUUCGGAAUUACUGGGCGUAAAGGGCGCGUAGGCGGCCACGUAAGUCGGGUGUGAAAGCCCGGGGCUCAACCCCGGAACGGCACCCGAGACUGUGUGGCUGGAGACCGGAAGAGGUGAGUGGAAUACCCAGUGUAGAGGUGAAAUUCGUAGAUAUUGGGUGGAACACCGGUGGCGAAAGCGGCUCACUGGUCCGGUUCUGACGCUGAGGCGCGAAAGCGUGGGGAGCAAACAGGAUUAGAUACCCCUGUAGUC
RNAcentral lists this ribosomal RNA (440 nucleotides) under uncultured Rhodospirillales bacterium. RNAcentral describes it as "bacterial SSU rRNA". It matches the Rfam family "Bacterial small subunit ribosomal RNA", at positions 338 to 795 of the family's 1533-position model. Lineage: Bacteria; Pseudomonadati; Pseudomonadota; Alphaproteobacteria; Rhodospirillales. The record is from RNAcentral.